AUACGGAAGGUCCGGGCGUUAUCCGGAUUUAUUGGGUUUAAAGGGAGCGCAGGCGGAGAUGCAAGCGUGACGUCAAAUUUCGGGGCUCAACCCCGUCUCGCGUCGCGAACUGCGUCCCUUGGUUGCGGGAAGGGGAGGCGGAACUCGUGGUGUAGCGGUAAAAUGCAUAGAUAUCACGAAGAACUCCGAUCGCGAAGGCAGCCUUCCGGCCCGUCAACGACGCUCACGCUCGAAGGUGCGGGUAUCAAACAGGAUUAGAUACCCUGGUAGUCCGCACAGUAAACGAUGGACACCCGCGGUUUGGCCUAUAUGGCUGAGCCGCCAAGCGAAAGCGUUAAGUGUCCCACCUGGGAAGUACGCCGGCAACGGUGAAACUCAAAGGAAUUGGCGGGG
This 393-nucleotide ribosomal RNA is filed under the name uncultured bacterium. Its description in RNAcentral is "partial 16S ribosomal RNA". It matches the Rfam family "Bacterial small subunit ribosomal RNA", at positions 523 to 918 of the family's 1533-position model. The record is from RNAcentral.